AUUGAACGCUGGCGGCAGGCCUAACACAUGCAAGUCGGACGAGUGGCGGACGGGUGAGUAAUGUCUGGGGAACUGCCUGAUGGAGGGGGAUAACUACUGGAAAAGGUAGCUAAUACCGCAUACCAUCAGAUGUACCCAUAUGGGAUUAGCUAGUAGGUGAGGUAACGGCUCACCUAGGCGACGAUCCCUAGCUGGUCUGAGAGGAUGAACAGCAAAACUGGAACUGAGACACGGUCCAGAAUCCUACGGGAGGAAGCAGUGGGGAAUAUUGCACAAUGGGCGAAAGCCUGAGGCAGCCAUGACGCGUGUAUGAAGAAGGCAUUCGGGUUGUAAAGUACUGUCAGUCGGGAGGCGUUACCGACAGAAGAAGCACCGGCUAACUCCGUGCCAGCAGCCGCGGUAAUAC
This 406-nucleotide ribosomal RNA is filed under the name uncultured bacterium. RNAcentral describes it as "partial 16S ribosomal RNA". It matches the Rfam family "Bacterial small subunit ribosomal RNA", at positions 30 to 526 of the family's 1533-position model. The record is from RNAcentral.